This 359-nucleotide unclassified non-coding RNA is filed under the name soil metagenome. Its description in RNAcentral is "partial contains 5.8S ribosomal RNA, internal transcribed spacer 2, and large subunit ribosomal RNA". The stretch from base 1 to 120 matches the Rfam family "5.8S ribosomal RNA", at positions 35 to 154 of the family's 154-position model. The record is from RNAcentral.
GAUGAAGAACGCAGCGAAAUGCGAUAAGUAAUGUGAAUUGCAGAAUUCAGUGAAUCAUCGAAUCUUUGAACGCACAUUGCGCCCGUCAGUAUUCUGGCGGGCAUGCCUGUUCGAGCGUCAUUACGCCCCUCAAGUCCCCUGUGGACUUGGUGUUGGGGAUCGGCGAGGCUGGUUUUCCAGCACAGCCGUCCCUUAAAUUAAUUGGCGGUCUCGCCGUGGCCCUCCUCUGCGCAGUAGUAAAACACUCGCAACAGGAGCCCGGCGCGGUCCACUGCCGUAAAACCCCCCCAACUUUUUAUAGUUGACCUCGAAUCAGGUAGGACUACCCGCUGAACUUAAGCAUAUCAAUAAGCGGAGGA